This 58-nucleotide transfer RNA is filed under the name Adicella ragma. Its description in RNAcentral is "tRNA-Arg". The record is from RNAcentral. Lineage: Eukaryota; Metazoa; Arthropoda; Insecta; Trichoptera; Leptoceridae.
AAAUAAGAAAUAUAAUUUAGUUUCGACCUAAAAAAAGAAGAAAUCCCUUCCUUAUUUA